UAGAGUUUGAUCCUGGCUCAGAUUGAACGCUGGCGGCAGGCCUAACACAUGCAAGUCGAGCGGUAACAGUCCUUCGGGAGCUGACGAGCGGCGGACGGGUGAGUAACGCGUAGGAAUCUACCCAGUAGAGGGGGNUAGCCCGGGGACAACUCGGAUUAAUACCGCAUAAACUCUAUGGAGCAAAGGGGGCUUCGGCUCUCGUUACUGGAUGAGCCUGCGUGGGAUUAGCUAGUUGGUGAGGUAAUGGCUCACCAAGGCGACGAUCUCUAACUGGUCUGAGAGGAUGAUCAGUCACACUGGAACUGAGACACGGUCCAGACUCCUACGGGAGGCAGCAGUGGGGAAUAUUGCACAAUGGGCGAAAGCCUGAUGCAGCCAUGCCGCGUGUGUGAAGAAGGCCUUAGGGUUGUAAAGCACUUUCAGUAGGGAGGAAGGCCAAGUAGUUAAUACCUGCUUGGAUUGACGUUACCUACAGAAGAAGCACCGGCUAACUCCGUGCCAGCAGCCGCGGUAAUACGGAGGGUGCGAGCGU
Molecule: ribosomal RNA, 532 nt
Filed under: uncultured bacterium
Lineage: Bacteria
Description: bacterial SSU rRNA
Rfam family: Bacterial small subunit ribosomal RNA
Source: RNAcentral